Molecule: ribosomal RNA, 776 nt
Filed under: Gammarus balcanicus
Lineage: Eukaryota; Metazoa; Arthropoda; Malacostraca; Amphipoda; Gammaridae
Description: eukaryotic LSU rRNA
Rfam family: Eukaryotic large subunit ribosomal RNA
Source: RNAcentral
UAAGUCAGCCACGAAUAGGCUAUCCCAACUAACGGCGGGAAAGACUCCACGGAGGGUGUAAGACCCGUGUGGGCGCGUGUUAAAGCUGUGCGGGCUCGGCCUCUAUUCCCUGAGAGUCGCGUUGCUUGAGCAUGCAGCGCUAAGCAGGUCGUAAACUCGAUCUAAGGCUAAAUAUCUCCACAGAACCGAUAGCGAACAAGUACCGUGAGGGAAAGUUGAAAAGCACUCUGGAGAGAGAGUCAAAAGACCGUGAAACCGCUCAGAGUAUAAGCCCAUGGCAGCUUGGAAGGCAUAUCGCUAGCGGGGCAUCGGUCUCCCUUCGCGGGGAGCUGGUGUUACCUUGCUUUUGUUGUGGCUCGUUAUGGUAGGGGGGUCAAGUCCACAUCCCGCCGUCGUGUGGGGGGUUCUCGGGUGUGUUGUGGUUUCUCGGUUGGCUUCGGCUGGCCGGGGGGCUCUUCGUGCUCGGUUCCUCUUUAGACACGGACGUUCAGACUCAGAUGCAAGACGCGAUAAACAGCCCACCACGGCACGUUGUGAGGUCACCCACAGGCUCAACUUUCGAUCGUGGGCCUUGACGCCGAGCAAGCACAAUGCGUGUCGCUGAGGUUCCUAACCAGGCAAUGGUGCCAGGAUCGUGGAACGACACGCGCUCAACAGUCAGGUUCGGGCGGAGACAGAGUUCUGGUAUGAUCCUCUUGCGACGAGCCGGCUUCUGGCCAAUAUCCGAUGCUCAGGUCUCCCGCAUGUGCCGCGGGAGAUCGCCUUGACGGUCUGGA